RNAcentral lists this unclassified non-coding RNA (170 nucleotides) under fungal sp. Its description in RNAcentral is "partial internal transcribed spacer region". The stretch from base 1 to 46 matches the Rfam family "Eukaryotic small subunit ribosomal RNA", at positions 1786 to 1831 of the family's 1831-position model. The record is from RNAcentral. Lineage: Eukaryota; Fungi.
AAGUCGUAACAAGGUCUCCGUAGGUGAACCUGCGGAGGGAUCAUUGCUGUUGGAGAAUAAAAACGGAUUUAUUCGUUUUUUAUUUAUCAUUUGCGCUUGUUUUGUUUGACAAAAGUAAUCAAUUAUUUAUGAUUUAAUGACAACUUUUAACAAUGGAUCUCUUGGCUCUU